AGAGUUUGAUCCUGGCUCAGGAUGAACGCUAGCGGCAGGCCUAAUACAUGCAAGUCGAACGGUGAUAGCAAUAUCAUAGUGGCGCACGGGUGCGUAACACGUAUGCAACCUACCUUAUACUGAGGGAUAGCCUUUCGAAAGGGAGAUUAAUACCUCAUAACACAUUGAACUGGCAUCAGUUUAUUGUUAAAGAUUUAUUGGUAUAAGAUGGGCAUGCGUCCAAUUAGUUAGUUGGCGAGGUAACGGCUCACCAAGACGAUGAUUGGUAGGGGAACUGAGAGGUUAAUCCCCCACACUGGCACUGAGAUACGGGCCAGACUCCUACGGGAGGCAGCAGUAGGGAAUAUUGGGCAAUGGAGGCAACUCUGACCCAGCCAUGCCGCGUGCAGGAAGAAGGCGUUAUGCGUUGUAAACUGCUUUUAUAUAGGAAGAAAUAGACCUUGCGAGGUAAGUUGACGGUACUAUAUGAAUAAGCACCGGCUAACUCCGUGCCAGCAGCCGCGGUAAUACGGAGGGUGCAAGCGUUGUCCGGAUUUAUUGGGUUUAAAGGGUGCGUAGGCGGUUUAUUAAGUCAGUGGUGAAAGACGGUCGCUCAACGAUUGCAGUGCCAUUGAUACUGGUAG
This 623-nucleotide ribosomal RNA is filed under the name uncultured bacterium. Its description in RNAcentral is "bacterial SSU rRNA". It matches the Rfam family "Bacterial small subunit ribosomal RNA", at positions 8 to 639 of the family's 1533-position model. The record is from RNAcentral.